RNAcentral lists this ribosomal RNA (433 nucleotides) under uncultured bacterium. RNAcentral describes it as "partial 16S ribosomal RNA". It matches the Rfam family "Bacterial small subunit ribosomal RNA", at positions 29 to 507 of the family's 1533-position model. The record is from RNAcentral.
AACGAACGCUGGCGGCAUGCCUAACACAUGCAAGUCGAACGAGACCUACGGGUCUAGUGGCGCACGGGUGCGUAACGCGUGGGAACCUGCCCUUAGGUUCGGAAUAACUCCCCGAAAGGGGUGCUAAUACCGGAUAAUGUCUUCGGACCAAAGAUUUAUCGCCUUUGGAUGGGCCCGCGUUGGAUUAGCUAGUUGGUAGGGUAAAAGCCUACCAAGGCGACGAUCCAUAGCUGGUCUGAGAGGAUGAUCAGCCACACUGGGACUGAGACACGGCCCAGACUCCUACGGGAAGCAGCAGUGGGGAAUAUUGGACAAUGGGCGAAAGCCUGAUCCAGCAAUGCCGCGUGAGUGAUGAAGGCCUUAGGGUUGUAAAGCUCUUUUACCCGGGAUGAUAAUGACAGUACCGGGAGAAUAAGCUCCGGCUAACUCCGUG